RNAcentral lists this ribosomal RNA (497 nucleotides) under uncultured bacterium. RNAcentral's name for it is "partial 16S ribosomal RNA". It matches the Rfam family "Bacterial small subunit ribosomal RNA", at positions 28 to 507 of the family's 1533-position model. The record is from RNAcentral.
GAUGAACGCUGGCGGGGGGGAGAAUACAUGCAAGUCGAGCGAACAGACGAGGAGCUUGCUCCUCUGACGUUAGCGGCGGACGGGUGAGUAACACGUGGAUAACCUACCUAUAAGACUGGGAUAACUUCGGGAAACCGGAGCUAAUACCGGAUAAUAUAUUGAACCGCAUGGUUCAAUAGUGAAAGACGGUUUUGCUGUCACUUAUAGAUGGAUCCGCGCCGCAUUAGCUAGUUGGUAAGGUAACGGCUUACCAAGGCAACGAUGCGUAGCCGACCUGAGAGGGUGAUCGGCCACACUGGAACUGAGACACGGUCCAGACUCCUACGGGAGGCAGCAGUAGGGAAUCUUCCGCAAUGGGCGAAAGCCUGACGGAGCAACGCCGCGUGAGUGAUGAAGGUCUUCGGAUCGUAAAACUCUGUUAUUAGGGAAGAACAAAUGUGUAAGUAACUAUGCACGUCUUGACGGUACCUAAUCAGAAAGCCACGGCUAACUACGUG